AUAUCUAUCAUCUAGGAAUCAUUUUAAAAUGCAGAUUCUGAUUCAGUAGAUUUGGAGUGGGCCUCAGGAUUCUGCAUUCCAACAAGCUUCUAGGAGAGGCUGUG
This 104-nucleotide microRNA precursor is filed under the name Marmota monax (woodchuck). Lineage: Eukaryota; Metazoa; Chordata; Mammalia; Rodentia; Sciuridae. The record is from RNAcentral.